RNAcentral lists this ribosomal RNA (253 nucleotides) under uncultured bacterium. Its description in RNAcentral is "partial 16S ribosomal RNA". It matches the Rfam family "Bacterial small subunit ribosomal RNA", at positions 524 to 776 of the family's 1533-position model. The record is from RNAcentral.
UACGUAGGGUGCAAGCGUUGUUCGGAAUUACUGGGCGUAAAGCGUGCGCAGGCGGUGAUGUAAGACAGGUGUGAAAUCCCCGGGCUUAACCUGGGAACUGCAUUUGUGACUGCAUCGCUGGAGUGCGGCAGAGGGGGAUGGAAUUCCGCGUGUAGCAGUGAAAUGCGUAGAUAUGCGGAGGAACACCGAUGGCGAAGGCAAUCCCCUGGGCCUGCACUGACGCUCAUGCACGAAAGCGUGGGGAGCGAACAGG